Molecule: long non-coding RNA, 4344 nt
Organism: Pseudophryne corroboree (corroboree frog)
Lineage: Eukaryota; Metazoa; Chordata; Amphibia; Anura; Myobatrachidae
Exons: 10
Source: RefSeq, a predicted model, not a curated record
UCCUCCUGACAUGUCAUCUAGUCCGUCCCAAUUAGAGCACGGUGCUGCGCUCCGGUAAUCAGGGAUCUACGAGGCUCUACUCGUCUUUAUAGUACAAGUGGUACCUGUUACCCAUGUACAAAUGCCACGCUACUGAGGGAGUGGAUGCUCACGCCAGGUUCGAGAUUAGAAUGGACUAUUUCUCUGGGGCUGAGCUGUGCCAAUUAUCCAGGACUUACCUGCCUCACCACCCACUGCACACUUUCCAACCAUUUCUGAUCAGUGGGAUGAACACAAUCCAGAACCACGAGAGGAAAUGGGGAAUUUAAUCAGAUAAGGGGGAUUUAGUUAAUCACAAAUGUAUAUUCGUGUACACCUAUAUUCAGCCAUUGAAGAAUAUCCACAUACAUACAUUAACGGCAUAGGACAGGACGCAUACCCCUCUCUAUGUCAUCAUCCCUCACCCAUCUCUUAUGACUCCCCUCCCCGGCUGGAGAAGGGGUCACCGUAGCACUUGAUCACAGACAGCCCGCUCACGUGACAUCGCACGUGACGCAGGAACCAGGAAGCCACAGACGGGACCCGUGGACGGAGGAGACCGGCGGCUGCUGGAGCUGGACGCGGACCAGAAGUGACUUAGGACACGGACGAGGAAGACACAGGCACCGGAUUGUGGAGAGAAAGACGCUGUCAUCGGCGGCAGGCGGCCAGCUUGCCCCCGGCGGCAGAGAACUCAGCACUCGGGAAACUCAUGGUACUGGCAAGCUGUUUAUCCCAGUGAGCAGAAAAGAUGCAGGAUCCAGGACAGAUCGCAGAGGUCUUCACAGAUCCGGACGUGGGAACUAAUUGUUCCUGGCUGAGGAACCCAGGUACCAGUGCGACUCCGGAACCGCCUUCUCCUUUCACUUACCUAAAUAAUGGUCUUCACAGAUCCGGACGUGGGAACUAAUUGUUCCUGGCUGAGGAACCCAGGUACCAGUGCGACUCCGGAACCGCCUUCUCCUUUCACUUACCUAAAUAAUGAUCCAUCUCCUCUUUGCUUUCUCUAUUGGUUGGAGCACUACAAGGCACAGUCUUCUGCUGUUCUCAAUCUAUACAACGUUUCGUGGACAAUUUAUCAGAUCUUUCAGACAUUCAAAUCUACCCACAUUAGUGAAUGUCUUUCCGCCAUUUCAUCUUGGACUUCAACCCGCCACCUGAAACGCAAUCUUUCCAAAACAGAAUCAGUAAUAUUUUCACCAAACAAUAACAGUUACAGUAUCAACCUGAUAUCUUUAUCGCUGUUGAUAACAUGACAAUUAAUCCCAACUCACAAGCUCGCUGCCUUGGUUUCAUCCUUGACUCUGAACUGUCUUUGUUCCCCACAUUCAGUCUUUUUCCAAAUCCUGCUAACAUACAUUUAAAAAAACAUAUCUAGAGACUAUAACCAUAUCUUACACAAGACACUGCAAAUCUAUAAUUCAUACUUCUACUUGCACAUAAGGCUAUUAACCAAAUGACACCAUCAUACAUCUUUUCGUUUAUCUCAAAAUGUCUCCCAGUUCUACCUCUCUGCUCCUUGCAAGAUAUGCGUCUCUCAUUCACAGAUGGUUAAAGGACGUUUUUUUAAGCUGCCUUUCACUCUGUGGAAUGCCUCCUACACACAACAAGACUUUAAUCUCCAAACCAUCAAGCGUUUCCUGAAAACUCACCUCUUUAGGCAGCUGAUCAAAUUACUGAACCACCUUCGUAACCUCUAUAAGGUAUUCUAGCCACUUACAUCCUUUCUAUACAGGUCACACAUAACUUUACAUAUUUUCUCUUUCUUCACUGAUGCAUCCUGCUGACAUCAGGCCAACAUUUAGCUUGACUGUAACAUACAGGCCACCAAGAACCUUUGCAAUCUGGAUGGCCCAAUUUCCAGCAAUACCCUUGUGUAUCAAAGCCUAUUUCCCUAUAGACUGUAAGCAUGUGAGCAGGGCCCUUUUGCCUCUUUGCUUUCUCUACACCAGGGUGCCAGAUGUUCAUUCUUACACUAAAACAACCACCACAACAUAUACAAAUAUUUACAUAAAUUAAUGCAUGGAUUGGUGGUUUUUCCUUUUACGCUAGUUUGCUCAGGUUAUGUUGAUUUGUAUUCUGGAUACAAAGACAUGCAUCAGAAUAUUCUACUGUUAAGGGUAGGACUAACUGUGGCAGGGUUUGCUCACCAGAGGCAGAGGUUUUGCUGGGCAUGCAUCUUUAGUUUUGGAGAGGGUCUAGUGUGCACUUCCACCACAUCCAGUGGUGAGCAGGUAAUUAGAGGUUCAUACAGCAGAAGCAGGUGACAUAUUGGAGUACAGUAGAGCAAAGUUUUUAUUUGAAGGUAUUGGAGAAAAACAUUAUGGAACAGAGGGCCAGGGUGAGUAGAGAUAUUCAAGAAACCUUACCACUGGCUUGCUGAAGGUCCUGUGGCCAUGUAUAUCCCUGGUCUAAAGAUGAUGAACUGGAGGAGUCCAGGUAUUUGUGUUAAAACAUACCAGGAAUGGCGGAAGAACUUUUCAUUUCCAGAAAAAGAGUUUCCUGUGCAGUAUACAAACAGUAAAAAAGCACUGAUACUGUAGUAUGACUCUCACCAUGCAUACAGAUACUAUAGGGAGCAUGUGCAUGAAUGGCAAUCAUAUUUAAAUAAAUAAGCCCAUUUAACCGCAACCACACCUGACAUUAAAUUAACAGGAUUAAUAUUAAAUAGGUCCAUUUACCCCAUUCAGCCUUAAUCUAUAUAUAUAAAAAUGUAUGUAUGUAUGUAUGUAUGUUCCAGCAAUUUACACCAAACUUGGUACACAUAUGACUUACAAUCUGGAAAAAAAUACUGUGGGGGUAAGACACCCCUAGAGGUGGAGGUGGGAAGGAGGUGACAUGUAAAAAUCCAUAGUAUUCACUAUUCAUAGAUGAAUAGUGAUACUCCCAAUAUUGUUUAAGUACAAGUUCAGCCCCCAUCAGCAUUAGGGGUGAGAAGGGGUGAAAACUAAAAUAUCCAAAAUGACCGACAGUAGUGUCAAAUCCAUAGUUUUCGGGGUCGCAUUUUGAAAAUUCAUAUGUUCCUUAGACUGUCCGUUAACAUAUAGGCUAUGUAUCUUCACGCUUAUUCUUGUAGGGGUUGGGUAGUGAACUUAAACUUGAAGAUGGGCGCAAUGAAAAUAGUCUUAUUGCGUUAAUUCCACGUGGGUGAAGCCGCGGGCAAAAAGCUAGUACUAAAUAAAUAUAAUUCACACAAUAAAUAGGCCAAGUGUCCCCAAUAACAUUAACAUAAUCACAUUCACAUUUAAUAAAUAGUCCUUCUACCACAACUCGGUCCCACCUGCAAAUAAUAGUUCCCAGACCAUCCCAGCAUUAAAUCAAUACAGUAGUCUUAUUACCUCCCUUUAAAUUAAGAGCCUUUUCUCUCCCAUAUAAAUUUAAAUAAAUAGCCUAAAACAUUUCCCCACAAAUAAAUGAAUUGCCUCUACCAUUUUAUUAAAAAGUAAGCAACCUCCAAGGAGUUAUUGCCACCUGUUGGCAUUGUGCUUCAGCUGUUGGUUUCCCACUCCACAUUUGGUGGGACUGUCCAGCCCUACAUCCCUUUUGGAAUUCGAUGAUUUGCAUUUCUAAAGCAAUUGUAGGUGAAGAAGUUAGUACGGAACCUGCUAUUUGGCUACUAAAUAAGGUUGCUGGACCUGUGUCGGCUUACAAGAAAUCAAAAUUGAAACAUCUCCAUUGCAUUACCUCAGCAGUUAUACUGGUUCAUUGGAGGUCUACCGCCCAUCCUACCAUAACAAAAUGGUUCUUUAGAUUGGAGUAUUAUAUGUAAAUGGAAAACCUUAUGUUGUCCGGAGUUGCUAAACUUCGGGAAUUCACCACCGUUUGGGGGCCCUUGCUUAUGUUCAAGGAAACCCAGACUUAUUCCGGCCUCUGGCAAGGUCAAUAAUCAAUCCAUUGAAUAAAUUGCUUACCUCAAUUUAGAGGUUCUUAAAUGCUGUCCUCAAGGUACCCAACGAUCCAGGUUUUAAGAUUAUCCAUGCUUGACCACAGGUGACUUAAGUAUCACCUCAGUAAAUUUGAUUUAACCAUUUGUGUUGUGCCAUGGAUAUACCUAAAACCUGGACCAUUGGGGUGCCUUGAGGACCGUGUUUGAGAACCUCUGCCUUAAUGCCUUCUCAGGUGGCUCCCCCCUCUCUAUCCUCUUACAAUUCUUCCCUUCUUUCUGCUCUUUCCUUCUUUCUCUUUUUUUUGUCUACACUUAUAUUUACUGAUUGCCCUGAAAGAUGAUACCUGAGCAGUACUAUGUUAUGUUUACACGACUUUGUUAUUUUUCUAUCCAUGUGUUAAUGUGUUGGCAAUGGUGCCAUAUUUUGUGGGUGUUGAUGA